AAAMUGGGAUUAGAUACCCCACUAUGCUUGMCCCUAAACACAGAUUUUUCUCAAUACAUAAAAAUCCGCCAGAGAACUACUAAUUACUCAUUUAAAACUCAAAGGACUDGACGGUAUCUCAAACCCAACUAGAGGAGCCUGUUCUAUAAUCGAUAAUCCACGAUYUACCUCACCACCCAUAGCCCAUUCAGCCUAUAUACCUCCGUCUUCAGCCUACCCUAUGAAAGUAUAAAAGUAAGCACAACAGUCAACACACUAACAAGUCAGGUCAAGGUGUAGCCCAUGGGGUGGAAGAAAUGGGCUACAUUUUYUACCAUAGAAAUACACUUUAACGGAAGGGACCUUGAAACAAGACCCAVCAAGCAGGAUUUAGCAGCAAUGUGAGAACAGAGAGCCCACAUUAAUCAGGAUCUGAGAUGCGUACMCMCCGCCCGYCGCCC
Molecule: ribosomal RNA, 440 nt
Filed under: Platemys platycephala
Lineage: Eukaryota; Metazoa; Chordata; Testudines; Chelidae
Description: partial 12S ribosomal RNA
Rfam family: Bacterial small subunit ribosomal RNA
Source: RNAcentral